Molecule: ribosomal RNA, 1956 nt
Filed under: human gut metagenome
Description: bacterial LSU rRNA
Rfam family: Bacterial large subunit ribosomal RNA
Source: RNAcentral
CAGUACCGUGAGGGAAAGGCGAAAAGAACCCCGGCGAGGGGAGUGAAAAAGAACCUGAAACCGUGUACGUACAAGCAGUGGGAGCACGCUUCGGCGUGUGACUGCGUACCUUUUGUAUAAUGGGUCAGCGACUUAUAUUCUGUAGCAAGGUUAACCGAAUAGGGGAGCCGAAGGGAAACCGAGUCUUAACUGGGCGUUAAGUUGCAGGGUAUAGACCCGAAACCCGGUGAUCUAGCCAUGGGCAGGUUGAAGGUUGGGUAACACUAACUGGAGGACCGAACCGACUAAUGUUGAAAAAUUAGCGGAUGACUUGUGGCUGGGGGUGAAAGGCCAAUCAAACCGGGAGAUAGCUGGUUCUCCCCGAAAGCUAUUUAGGUAGCGCCUCGUGAAUUCAUCUCCGGGGGUAGAGCACUGUUUCGGCAAGGGGGUCAUCCCGACUUACCAACCCGAUGCAAACUGCGAAUACCGGAGAAUGUUAUCACGGGAGACACACGGCGGGUGCUAACGUCCGUCGUGAAGAGGGAAACAACCCAGACCGCCAGCUAAGGUCCCAAAGUCAUGGUUAAGUGGGAAACGAUGUGGGAAGGCCCAGACAGCCAGGAUGUUGGCUUAGAAGCAGCCAUCAUUUAAAGAAAGCGUAAUAGCUCACUGGUCGAGUCGGCCUGCGCGGAAGAUGUAACGGGGCUAAACCAUGCACCGAAGCUGCGGCAGCGACACUAUGUGUUGUUGGGUAGGGGAGCGUUCUGUAAGCCUGUGAAGGUGUACUGUGAGGUAUGCUGGAGGUAUCAGAAGUGCGAAUGCUGACAUAAGUAACGAUAAAGCGGGUGAAAAGCCCGCUCGCCGGAAGACCAAGGGUUCCUGUCCAACGUUAAUCGGGGCAGGGUGAGUCGACCCCUAAGGCGAGGCCGAAAGGCGUAGUCGAUGGGAAACAGGUUAAUAUUCCUGUACUUGGUGUUACUGCGAAGGGGGGACGGAGAAGGCUAUGUUGGCCGGGCGACGGUUGUCCCGGUUUAAGCGUGUAGGCUGGUUUUCCAGGCAAAUCCGGAAAAUCAAGGCUGAGGCGUGAUGACGAGGCACUACGGUGCUGAAGCAACAAAUGCCCUGCUUCCAGGAAAAGCCUCUAAGCAUCAGGUAACAUCAAAUCGUACCCCAAACCGACACAGGUGGUCAGGUAGAGAAUACCAAGGCGCUUGAGAGAACUCGGGUGAAGGAACUAGGCAAAAUGGUGCCGUAACUUCGGGAGAAGGCACGCUGAUAUGUAGGUGAAGCGACUUGCUCGUGGAGCUGAAAUCAGUCGAAGAUACCAGCUGGCUGCAACUGUUUAUUAAAAACACAGCACUGUGCAAACACGAAAGUGGACGUAUACGGUGUGACGCCUGCCCGGUGCCGGAAGGUUAAUUGAUGGGGUUAGCGGUAACGCGAAGCUCUUGAUCGAAGCCCCGGUAAACGGCGGCCGUAACUAUAACGGUCCUAAGGUAGCGAAAUUCCUUGUCGGGUAAGUUCCGACCUGCACGAAUGGCGUAAUGAUGGCCAGGCUGUCUCCACCCGAGACUCAGUGAAAUUGAACUCGCUGUGAAGAUGCAGUGUACCCGCGGCAAGACGGAAAGACCCCGUGAACCUUUACUAUAGCUUGACACUGAACAUUGAGCCUUGAUGUGUAGGAUAGGUGGGAGGCUUUGAAGUGUGGACGCCAGUCUGCAUGGAGCCGACCUUGAAAUACCACCCUUUAAUGUUUGAUGUUCUAACGUUGGCCCGUUAUCCGGGUUGCGGACAGUGUCUGGUGGGUAGUUUGACUGGGGCGGUCUCCUCCUAAAGAGUAACGGAGGAGCACGAAGGUUGGCUAAUCCUGGUCGGACAUCAGGAGGUUAGUGCAAUGGCAUAAGCCAGCUUGACUGCGAGCGUGACGGCGCGAGCAGGUGCGAAAGCAGGUCAUAGUGAUCCGGUGGUUCUGAAUGG